This 468-nucleotide ribosomal RNA is filed under the name uncultured bacterium. RNAcentral describes it as "partial 16S ribosomal RNA". It matches the Rfam family "Bacterial small subunit ribosomal RNA", at positions 28 to 507 of the family's 1533-position model. The record is from RNAcentral.
GACGAACGCUGGCGGCGUGCUUAACACAUGCAAGUCGAACGGAAAGGCCCUGCUUUUGUGGGGUGCUCGAGUGGCGAACGGGUGAGUAACACGUGAGUAGCCUGCCCUUGACUUUGGGAUAACUUCAGGAAACUGGGGCUAAUACCGGAUAGGAGCUCCUGCUGCAUGGUGGGGGUUGGAAAGUUUCGGCGGUUGGGGAUGGACUGGCGGCUUAUCAGCUUGUUGGUGGGGUAGUGGCUUACCAAGGCUUUGACGGGUAGCCGGCCUGAGAGGGUGACCGGCCACAUUGGGACUGAGAUACGGCCCAGACUCCUACGGGAGGCAGCAGUGGGGAAUAUUGCACAGUGGGCGGAAGCCUGAUGCAGCAACGCCGCGUGCGGGAUGACGGCCUUCGGGUUGUAAACCGCUUUCGCCUGUGACGAAGCGUGAGUGACGGUAAUGGGUAAAGAAGCACCGGCUAACUACGUG